This is a long non-coding RNA of Cyanoderma ruficeps (rufous-capped babbler), 5241 nucleotides long. The record is from Ensembl. NCBI's taxonomy places the organism in Eukaryota, Metazoa, Chordata, Aves, Passeriformes, Timaliidae.
UUCCCACCCUCCUGGGGACCCCUAAAACCCCCUGAGGGCACCAAGAACCCCUUUCCCACCCUCUGAGCAACUCCAGGACCCCCAUCCCAUCCCCUGAGGACCCCCAGAACUACCUGAGGAUCCCAAGAACUCCUUUUCCCACCACCCUGGGGACCCCCAGCACCCUCUUCCCAUCCCCUGAGGACCCCCAGAACUACCUGGGGACCCCCAGAACUACCAGAGGAUCCCAAGAACCCCUUUUCCCACCACCCUGGGGACCCCCAGCACCCUCAAGUGACCCGUACCAGGCAGAGCCAUCCCCCCAACCCCGCAGUGACGCCUGGGGAGGACAAACCCCGUCCCCCAAUUUUCCCCCCAAAAAAGCUGAGAAGCUGCAGCUGCAGCGGCAGCUGGACCAGGCCGGCUCCUCCAAGAAGAGCCUGGAGGAGAGCGGGCGGCAGUGCCAGCAGGAGCUGGCCAAAGCCACCCAGGACAGGGACAAGUGCCAGCAGGAGCUGCGCGGCGCCAGGACCGAGGGCGACUUCAGCAGGACCGAGCUGCAGCUGCAGAGACGCGAGUGCCGCUCCGUCCAGAGCGACCUGAGCGACAAAUUCCCCAGGAUUUCGGAUUUGCUGAAGCAAUUCCGCUGCGGGGAAGCCGAGGGCGAGCUGAGGCAGAUGCGGGAUCGAGCCGAGGCGCUUUUCCGGCGGCAGCAGGAGCGCGAUUCCCAGUUCAUCUGGAAGGAAAGCUGCGAGCUGAGCGUGCAGCAGUGUCACCUCAACUGCUCCCGCGAAAUGCAGGAGCUGCAGAAGAGGAUCCAGGGCUUGGAGAAGAAGGAGAAGGACGGGCUGGAGGAGAGGAGGAAGCUGGAGGAGGAGAAGGAGAAGGCGGGGAAGGAGCUGGAGGAGAAGAGGAGGGCCGUGAUGGUGCAGGUGGAGGCGCUGAGGGAGCAGCUCGUGUACUGCAUGGCAGCCAAGGACAUGCCGGCCCUGCGGGGGCCGGGCAGCACCGCCCGCUCGGGCGCCUUCCCCGGCCUCGGCCCCUACCUGGACCUGCUGAGGAACCCGGCCACCCUGGGUGAGUCCCUGUGGGGACAGGGGACACUCUGCGGGGUCACUGUGCCACCCUGGGGACCCUGGGUGAGUCCCUGUGGGGACAGGGGACACUCGGGGGGUCAUUGUGCCAUCCUGGGUGCCCGUCCCAUAGCAUCCCAUGGAUCCCAUAGCAUCCCAUGCAUUCCAUCCCAUCCCAUCCCAUGGAUCCCAAUUCCCAGUUCCAUGGAUCCCAAUUCCCAGUUCCAUGGAUCCCAAUCCCAUGGAUCCCAUCCCAAUCCCAUCCCAAUCCCAUGGACCCCAUCCCAUGGACCCCAUCCCAUGGACCCCAUCCCAUGGAUCCCAAUUCCCAAUCCCACGGAUCCCAAUUCCCAAUCCCAUGGAUCCCAAUUCCCAAUCCCAUGGAUCCCAACCCCAUCCCAUGGAUCCCAUCCCACGGAUCCCAAUUCCCAAUGCAAUAGAUCCCAAUUCCCAAUCCCACGGAUCCCAAUUCCCAAUCCCACGGAUCCCAAUUCCCAAUCCCAUGGAUCCCAAUCCCAUCCCAUGGAUCCCAAUCCCAUGGAUCCCAUCCCCGCCAGGCAAGUGGACCCCGGAGGAGCACCAGCAGCAGCUGGAGCAGCUCAUGGCCGCCAGGAACAACCCCAGCGGAUAACUCUGGGGAAAACAAAAACCCCAAAAAUCCAUGGAAAACGCAGGAGCCGCCCGGGAAGUGCUUCCCGCAGCACGGAUGGCAAACCCCGCCCCGGGGCCACCCUCCCUUUGUCCCCUUUGUCCCCUUUGUCCCCAACCCCACCCCGCGUGUCCCCUCGGAUGUAUCAUCCCCGCCUUUUUUUUGGCUGGAGCGGGACAACAGCCGGCCCCGAAUUUUGGGGACAACUCGCCGCCGGUGUGGAUGGAAAUUCAUGGAGGGGGAGAAAAAAAAUAUUGGGAUGGGGAGCGGGAAUUUCGGGAAUUUCGGGGAUUGCAGAGGGGUGGGAAAGGCUCGAGGACGAGGGGACAGGGAUGUCCUUUGUCACCGCGCUGUCCUUGUCCCCUCGGAGCGGGACAGGGAUUUGUUCUCGGGAUUUUACAGCCGCGUUUCCUGUGGAAAAUCCUUUUCCUGCCUCGCCGCCUCUGUGCCCGCACGCCAGGCGCCACCACAGUGUCCCUUGUCCCCUCGGGCGGUCCCCGAGUGUCCCCCGAGCCGUGCCCGUGCCCCCAUCAGGCCGCUGCCACCUCCUGCCACCCCUCUGAGGGUGGCGAUGUCACCGCGUCCCCCCUUUUCCCCCUCCCUGCCCAGCUCCGGGAUGGGAUGGCGGCGACAAAGGUGACGAAGGUGACAAAUGUGACAAAUUCUCACCGUUCCCCCCCCCAAGGUCUGGGCAGGGAGGGCCUCAGGCACCGCCAGAGGAUUUCCUGGAAUUCCUCCGUGGAUAAUCUUGGAGCACCAGGUGCUUCCCGAGCCCCCGGAGCGCCGGCUGGGGGGUGGCACGGAGGGGACAGGGGUGUCCCCAAGAGAUGGCACCGUUUUUGGGGGUGGCAGAGCCCCACAUCUCCCGUGGAUUGGGGGAAUUUCCUGGAUUGGGAUGGAUCCUGGGGUUUGGAAUUUCCUGGAUUGGGAUGGAUCCUGGGGUUUGGAAUUUCCUGGAUUGGGAUGGAUCCUGGCGUUUUUGGGGUGGCAAAGCCCCACAUCUCCAAGGGAUUGGGGGAAUUUCCUGGAUUGGGAUGGAUCCUGGGGGUCCCAAACUCCUCAAGCUGAAUCCUCAGGCGUUGGGGACACAGGGAUGUCACACUGAGGGACGGGGACACCCCAAGGUGUGGACACACCCAGGGGUGGCUUUUUCCCUUCCAGCUCCCCCUGGCCAAGAAAUGGGACUUUUCCUGGUUUUUUUGGGGUUUUUUUCCCAAAAAUUCGGGUUUUGGGACACGCCACCACUAAGGAGACGACGCCAAAGCCACCAAAGCCCCGCGGUUUAUUCCCGGCGACACCGCGACAGAAGCGUCGCCGUCACUUCCCCACGCAAAAAUCCCUAAAAAUGAUAUCCAGGACCUCCUCCGCUCCCACCUGCCCCGUGAUCCUGCCCAGCUCCCGCCGUGCCACCCGCAGCUGCUCGGCUGCCACCGCCAGGUCGCCGAUGUCGCCGCUGUCGCCUCUGUCGCCGCUGUCGCCGCGGCCGAAGCGCGACAGCGCCGCCGCGCACGCCCCGAGGUGGCGGCUGUGCCUGCUCUGGGUCAGGCUGGGGGACCCCAAAAGGGGAUCCCCGCACCUGGAAAAGGAGAUUGGGGGUGGGAAAAGGGGAUUGGGAACCCCGAAAGGGGAUUGGGAAACCCAAAAGGGAUUGGGAACCUCAAAAGUGGAUCCCCGCACCUGGAAAAGGGGAUUGGGUGUGGGAAAAGGGGAUCCCUGCACCUGGAAAAGGAGAUUGGGGGUGGGAAAGGGGAUUGGGAACCCCAAAAGGGGAUUGGAAACCUCAAAAGGGGAUUGGGAAACCCAAAAGGGGAUCCCCACAUCUGGAAAAGGGGAUUGGGUGUGGGAAAAGGGGAUUUGGAACCCCAAAAGGGGAUUGGGAACCCCGAAAGGGGAUUCCUGCAUCUGGAAAAGGGGGAUAGGGGAUGGGAAAAGGGGAUUGGGAACCCCAAAAGGGGAUCCCCGCACCUGGAAAAGAGGGAUCAGGUAUGGGAAAGGGGGAUUAGAGAUGGAAAAAAGGGAAUCGGGCAGGGAAAAGUGGGUUUGAGCAUGGAAAAGGGAGACCAGCCACGGAAAAGGGAAAUCAGCCACGGAAAAACAGGAUCAGCCAUGGGGAACAAAGGGGCUGAUCCAGCCCGGAGCCCCCCAGACCCUGGGAUGGGGAUUUGGGAUCCCCCCCAAACCCUGGGAUGAGGAUUUGGGAUCCCCCCCAGACCCCGGGAUGGGAAUUUGGGAUCCCUCCCCAAACCCCGGGAUGAGGAUUUGGGAUCCCCCCAGACCCCGGGAUGGGGAUUUGGGAUCCCCCCAGACCCCGUGAUGGGGAUUUGGGAUCCCCCCAGACCCCGGGAUGAGGAUUUGGGAUCCCCCCAGACCCUGGGAUGGGGAUUUGGGAUCCCCCAGACUCACAGCUGGACCAGCUGCUGCCUCAGCACCUCCAGCAGCUCCUGCAGCCCCUGGCCUGUGUGGCAGGACAGGAGGGUGACAGGGGGACCCUGGGCACAGGUGACACUCGGGGACCCCCCGGGCCCCCCCAGAAGGUCGGCCUUGUUCAGCACCAGCACACAGGGCACGUCCGGGGGGGGCUCCAGCGCCGCCAGCGCCGCCCCCAGGGCCACCGGCGUGGGGGACACCGCGGUGACAUCAAGCACUGCCAGCACCAGGUCAGCCUGGGACAGCCUGAGGGGACACGGGGCAGUGUCACCUCCCAGGGAUGAUGUGGGUGACACUGAGGUGACAUUGAACACUGACAGCACCAGGUCAGCCUGCGACAGCCUGAGGGGACACGGGGCGGUGUCACCCCCCAGGGCCACCGGCGUGGGUGACACUGAGGUGACAUCCAGCACUGCCAGCACCAGGUCGGCCUGGGACAGCCUGAGGGGACACGGGGCAGUGUCACCUCCCCAGGGCCAGGUCAGCCUGGGACAGCCUGAGGGGACACGGGGCAGUGUCACCCCCCAGGGCCAGGCCAGCCUGGGACAGCCUGAGGGGACAGGGAUUCCCUCUGGAAUUUUGGGAAUCAUCCUGAUCCCUCCACACCCACAGGUGACACAACGGCUUGGGGACACUGAGAAUGAUUCCCUCUGGAAUUUUGGGAAUUAUCCCAGCCUGGGACGGUCUGGGGACACUGAGAAUGAUUCCCUCUGGAAUUUUGGGAAUUAUCCCCACUUUUCUCCACCCAGUCCCCACCACGGGUGACACCCCGCCCUGGGGACAGCGGGAAUGGUUCCCUCUGGAAUUCUGGGGACCCCGAACUCACCGUGCCCGUGCCCGUGCCACCCCCUCCUGCUCCACGGGGUCGGUGGCGUGUCGCAGCCCCGCGGUGUCACUGAGCACCAGCGGGUACCCCCCGAUGUCCAGGGCCACCUCCAGGACGUCCCGCGUGGUCCCCGCCACAGGGGACACGAUGGCGGCCGGGCGCCGGCCUGGGGACAGCCACAGGGGUCACCCCGGGGAUUGUCCCAGCCUGGGGACAGCCACAGGGGUCACCCCGGGGAUUGUCCCACCCUGGGGACAGCCACAGGGGUCACCCCGGGGAUUGUCCCA